AUUGAACGCUGGCGGCAUGCUUUACACAUGCAAGUCGGACGGCAGCACAGAGAAGCUUGCUUCUUGGGUGGCGAGUGGCGAACGGGUGAGUAAUAUAUCGGAACGUACCGAGUAAUGGGGGUAACUAAACGAAAGAUUAGCCAAUAACGCCUAUUUCCUGGGGAGGAAAGCAGGGGACCUUCGGGCCUUGCGGUAUUCGGGCGGGCGAUAUCUGAUUAGCUAGUUGGUGGGGUAAAGGCCUACCAAGGCGACGAUCAGUAGCGGGUCUGAGAGGAUGAUCCGCCACACUGGGACUGAGACACGGCCCAGACUCCUACGGGAGGCAGCAGUGGGGAAUUUUGGACAAUGGGCGCAAGCCUGAUCCAGCCAUGCCGCGUGUCUGAAGAAGGCCUUCGGGUUGUAAAGGACUUUUGUCAGGGAAGAAAAGGCUGUUGCUAAUACCGACAGCUGAUGACGGUACCUGAAGAAUAAGCACCGGCUAACUACGUG
RNAcentral lists this ribosomal RNA (489 nucleotides) under uncultured bacterium. Its description in RNAcentral is "partial 16S ribosomal RNA". It matches the Rfam family "Bacterial small subunit ribosomal RNA", at positions 30 to 507 of the family's 1533-position model. The record is from RNAcentral.